RNAcentral lists this ribosomal RNA (499 nucleotides) under uncultured bacterium. RNAcentral's name for it is "partial 16S ribosomal RNA". It matches the Rfam family "Bacterial small subunit ribosomal RNA", at positions 28 to 507 of the family's 1533-position model. The record is from RNAcentral.
GAUGAACGCUGGCGGCGUGCCCAAUACAUGCAAGUCGAGCGAACAGACGAGAGUGCUUGCACUCUCUGACGUUAGCGGCGGACGGGUGAGUAACACGUGGGUAACCUACCUAUAAGACUGGGAUAACUUCGGGAAACCGUAGCUAAUACCGGAUAAUAUUUAGCUUCGCAUGAAGCAAUAGUGAAAGACGGUUCUGCUGUCACUUAUAGAUGGACCCGCGGUGUAUUAGCUAGUUGGUGAGGUAACGGCUCACCAAGGCAACGAUACAUAGCCGACCUGAGAGGGUGAUCGGCCACACUGGGACUGAGACACGGCCCAGACUCCUACGGGAGGCAGCAGUAGGGAAUCUUCCGCAAUGGACGAAAGUCUGACGGAGCAAUGCCGCGUGAGUGAAGAAGGUUUUCGGAUCGUAAAACUCUGUUGUAAGGGAAGAACAAGUACGUUAGUAACUGAACGUACAUUGACGGUACCUUACCAGAAAGCCACGGCUAACUACGUG